Symphalangus syndactylus (siamang) is the source of this 985-nucleotide long non-coding RNA. RefSeq lists it as uncharacterized. Lineage: Eukaryota; Metazoa; Chordata; Mammalia; Primates; Hylobatidae. The record is from RefSeq and is a predicted model, not a curated record.
UAAAUAUACCAAAUCGAGAUAAAUGAAUUUCAGUAGUCAUCCUCUAUCCAUUAAGUCGAAUUAUUUUACCUCUGUUGGAAACAUUUUAGCAAUCAAAACUGGGUAUCUUUUUAUGUUUAGAGGAAAAAAUUAGGGCUCAGAUUUUGAGAGUAGAAAAGAGGAAGUGAGAUCUUGAGGAAGCCUUUGUUUGAAGGUCAUUCAGAUAAACUUUCGUUUUUUUAAUUGGUCAUCUUCUUUGGGAUGCUGUGUUUAUAGGUGAGAUCAUGUGAUGAUGGAGAAGGUCACCAGAGCCAGGCACCUUGUCCACACACAGGGCUUCCUUCCUCCACGACUUAACCAAGAGAUGUAGACGGCGGGGUCAACAUUAAAUACCACAAAUAGGCAAAAGAGCUUCAGACAGGAGGAUCGUCUCCCUGAAGACAAAGUAUCUUUUGUUUUGGAAUGGGACUCUGCACUAUGGGAUUUCUAGCGGAGACGAGAGUUACCAGAGUCAGCACUGGAGGAACUUGUUUGGAAUUGAGCCUUGAUUCUGAAAAGAAAGUAUCAGAGGGCAGCAUUUGAACUGGCAUUUAAGGUGUCAACCAGGGAAAAUUUGGUGCUGACCAGUAAAAGGAGAAAAUCCCAAACAGAAGCUCCAUCACCAGGGACAGGGCCAGACUCCUGACUCCGUGGAUGUGCUGAAUCAUUCGGAUACUUUCCAGAAAAUUAUUUUACCUACUCAGAAGGCUGGGCAUCAGCCAAAACAUGCUGGAAAACCACAAGGAAAGACAUUUCUAUGAAGUAACUAGAGUUUUCGGGCUUCUACUCUAGAGGAAUAUAAGAGGAACUUUCUUUAAAGAGUGUGCAGGUGGUUCCUUUUAAGCUCACCUGUCUGAUUUUUCAAACAGAUCAAGGGGUGAUGGCAGGGAAAUGUCUCCCCUGGGAAUCUCACCCCUCCAUUUGCUAAAGAGAAGGAGCUUCAAUCCCUUGACAGGAUGAUGAAGAA